UCAAACAUGAACUCUGAUCCGGAGAGAUUUCUCUCUAGUCUCUACGAAAUAUACCGACAUUUUUGGUGAGCUCAAAAGGCUGCCUCUUGCGAUCAGAUACAUACAGAUAACAUCUCCCAUUCUAUUCCAUUCCCAUUCCAGUCCCAGUCAAAUUUCCUUCCUACGUGUGAACGCCCCAGCUCAGUCGGCCGGCCAACUGGUGCACGUUUUUGCAAUCGCACGGCAUCCUAAUCAUAAACAUAAACAGUCAGAAGCAGUACUUCCAUCCUGUAGGAUUCAAUUUCCCCGGGAAUUUUUCUUUUUCUUUUCUCUCCCCAGAGGUGUGGUAAUAGAUUUGCCAACCGACUGCGACUGUGUCUAUUUCGGCGGGUAAAGCUUGAAUCCACAGCCUUGUUAUAUAGCAAGUGGGUCGUGAUUUUUCACCGGAAAAUCAUCUGGGUAGACUUUUGGCUUGUUGGUUUCCAGGGAGGUUUGAAUUGGGUGCAUGUGCUUUAUAAAGGUGGCGGACCCAGGCGACACCGGUAAGUACGUCAGAUUCCUGGCGGCCGAUGAAGAAGGCAGGCCUUCGGAGCAAACUGGUCAAGAAAUGCAACAGCCUGAGCCGCCGCCGCCGCCGCAGCAAGAGGCCGCGACACCGAUGUUUCCGGGGUACAGUCUGAGUAGAGAGAUGUCGGAGAUGGUGACGGCGUUGACGCGUGUGGUCUCAGGCCAGAGCUCCGUCCAGGGGCCUAGCGGCUCCGGGACCCGGCCUUCUUUUGUUGGCGGCUCUUCUGGGAUUUACUCCUCGAAUUUACCGAAUUCGUCGGAUUACUCCUCGUCGAGCUCCGGCUCGUGGGCCGGCCAGAAGAGAGGCCGUGAAGAGGAAAGCGUCACCCAGUUCUCCGACGAUCAGCUCCAUAGGGUUUAUAGAGGGUUUAGUGAUUUCAGAACCACCUCUCAUGGAGAUUCAUCUUCUCUCGCUACCACCGCGCAAGAUGAAGCUAGCAAUAUUGUGACAGCAUCCUCAUCCUCCUCCUCCGCCCCCGCUUCCACCGCCGUACAGCAAGUGGAAACGGCUUCAUACGAAGAGGGUGGCGGAGAGAGGCGGCGGAGAUACAGAGGAGUGAGGCAGCGGCCGUGGGGGAAAUGGGCGGCCGAGAUAAGGGACCCACACAAAGCGGCCAGGGUGUGGCUUGGCACUUUCGACACCGCCGAGGCCGCCGCCAGGGCCUACGAUGAGGCCGCCCUGAGAUUCCGAGGCAACAGAGCCAAGCUCAACUUCCCCGAAAAUGUUAGAUUGUUGCCGCCGGUCCACCCUCCGGCGGCGACCCAGUUGGCCGUUUCCAGUUCCCCGGCCACCCUUUUGACGCCAGUCCAGCCGCCGCCCCCGCCCCCGCCCAUCCAAACCUCGGACGUUGCCAGAGACUACUGGGAGUACUCUCAGCUUCUACAGAGCUCCGGCGAAUUCCAUGGCCGGCAGCCCACCACCUUACUGGAGCAAAUGUUCUACGCUUCUCAAACGCCGGCUUCUUCUUCUUCACCUUCGGUUGGAUCUUCCUCGGCUUCUGCGACUUCUUCCUCAUAUCCUCUGCUCUUUUCAAGCCAGCAAAUAGGUGGUGACUUCCGUCGACCGGGAAGUCAGAAUCAGGGUGGCGGAUCAGAUUUCCCGGCACCCCCGUGGACCGGUUCCGGCCAGUACCCUCCCUCGUCUUCUAGGUAGUAUUAAAAACAUGUUCGGCACAAUAUAUGCUUAAAGGGCCCCAUGUGAGUUAGGCUUCUUGAGAGCUAGGAACAAUGCAGCCCAUGUUGGCUCCGCCGUCAGCCGCCAUUUCCUCCGACGACCAUGUAGCCACCUGCAGCUCUAAAAAUGCCUUUUCGGCCAGCUGCUAAAAGGCCAUCUCAGAAAACUAAUACGGCCGGGGCCACAUGACCAGUCCAGUUCGGGGCGCUUCUUCUAAUUUUCAACUUACGAAUAAUAAUUAUUAUUAAAUGAGACUAUACGUUACAUGAGAUGUUUUUUUAUUUUGAAUUUCUAAUUUUUUUUUUAUUAUCACUCAAUGUGGACAGAACAUUUCUGUCCCCUCUAAAAAGUAAUUAGUUUAAAUUCCA
RNA transcript from Diospyros lotus (date-plum), 2088 nucleotides. It is a transcript of the gene named ethylene-responsive transcription factor ABR1-like, with no coding region annotated. The record is from RefSeq and is a predicted model, not a curated record. Lineage: Eukaryota; Viridiplantae; Streptophyta; Magnoliopsida; Ericales; Ebenaceae. The transcript has 4 exons.